AAAGAUCACCGUCACAAUGACUAUUGCUUUUUAACAGGGUUAUUGACUGUUUUCUGUGUCUUUUCAGGAGAGAAAAGACAAACUGAAAACCUACUCUGCAGUGCAGUCUAAAGACAGUAACUCCGAGAUAGAAGCCGCCCCACAAUACGAACAAUGACAGCUCUGAGGAUUCGUCCUCAGCCCUACAAUACGAACAAUGACAACUCUGAGGAUUUUUAUGACUGACUACCUGAGAAAAGGGAUUCUUAACAGAAGCUGAUGAGAACGCUUUAGAGAAUGUCUCCAUACUGUUUUAUUUUUUCUUCCAUUCAUUACCCUUAUCUGGCUAGAUUAUUUAUACGUUGUAAAAUUUAUCAAACUGUAUCAUACAAAAAUAAUAAUAAUAAACUUGAUGCCUCUUACUGUGGAUAAAGUAUGUGAAGCGUUUUAAAAAACACACUGAUGUUAACCCUGCUUCAGUCUCUUUAUCUGAACAACUCUUACAACUCAUAAUGACAGCUUGAAAUAGAUUAAUCUGGUCUUUUAAAGCGAUUUGUUUGCACUAGGCUGGAAAUCAUGUAUUUUCAAUGCCGCUAGCAUCUCCAGUGGUCUGCAUCUAGCAUGCUUGAGUGUAGUGAUGUGAGUCACCUGUGAAAUGACAAAGAACAAUGGCCACUCUGGAUGUUACCAAACGACCUGUGGACCUGUUGAAGUGGCCCAUCGCCCAGGACAAGAUAAUAAUAAUAAUAAAUCAUUUAUUACAUCUCUAUAGCACUUUUCAUAUAAUCUCAAAGAUGUAUCGACAUGUUUACAGACCCACAAUAUAAACAACGGAUCACAAUGUAUGUUUUUUGGAACUGUUUAGUGAAGUUGUAGUUAUGUACAAAGAUGAUAUCAGACCUGUAUUAGUUUUCCUUUUUCAUUUCCCAUGUGCCUUUUCAUUUUCUAUGACAUUUCCAACUCCCUAAUAUCUUAUUGCUGCAAGGAAUGUUUUAGUACAAUCAUGUUUUCAUGUUUUAUUUUUGUAUAAUAUGCUUUGUGAUCAAAGUAUUGCUCUAGUAGACAUGCAGUACUCAGAAACAUAAUAAUUAAAUUUGAUAAAAUA
Long non-coding RNA from Coregonus clupeaformis (lake whitefish), 1084 nucleotides. RefSeq lists it as uncharacterized. The record is from RefSeq and is a predicted model, not a curated record. The transcript is spliced from 2 exons. Lineage: Eukaryota; Metazoa; Chordata; Actinopteri; Salmoniformes; Salmonidae.